RNAcentral lists this long non-coding RNA (798 nucleotides) under Lynx pardinus (Iberian lynx). The record is from RNAcentral. Lineage: Eukaryota; Metazoa; Chordata; Mammalia; Carnivora; Felidae.
CGUUUCCCGAGGUAGGAGCAAGGUGGCUUCGCGGCAUCCGGAAAAGGUGAGCUGGGGGUUUAGUUGAAGUUGGCAAGACCAGGGCAGCGCAGUAGACUAUGCAUCUGCGGAUACGAUGGUCCCGGCCCGAGAUAGCUAAGGACCAGAGUCUAAUCACUCACCCGCUUGCUCCCUCUCGAGUGACCCCCUUAAUAGUGAUACUACAGCAUUUCGCACUCUAGACAACUUUCUACUCCCUACACCACGUCUCGCUAUUGCAGGCACUAGUCUUACUUAAUUCGCGCUCAGAUGCCUUUUGCGUUCUGAUUACCCUCACCAGUAGUAUUACCAGCCAGCAUUUACAUCGGUCUUUGCAAUUUGCCCCGGCAGGUUCUUUUCUCCCCAUUUUUCUACUAGCAAACAAGGAACUUAAAUUUUAAUAACGGAUUUUUGCCGAUAGAGCUAUCUGGGUUCAAGAUCUAAGAGGGAAAAGCGGUUUGACCCGUUGACUCCAGGAAAGGUAUGCGUGCAUUGAGGACAUUCUUCGCGGAGGUGGAGGGGUGUCGGUGGACGGCAUCGAGCUCUAGGCCCUGUGACCCACAGUCCGCCUAAAUAAAGAUCAUCAUCGCAAGAACUGUGGACGAUUUGAAGAUCCUGAAGCCCUGAAAUUCUUCCCCAAGUUUUGGAGGAGCUACUGUUGUUUUGGUGUAACUCUGGUAAAUAAAUUGGUACCUGAUGAUCAAUCUGCACUUUCAGUAAGAAGGUAAUUUAUUGUAUGUCAGGAAAUAAUAACAACAGCAGAGUUGUUGUUUUUUUUUU